UACGGAGGAUGCGAGCGUUAUCCGGAUUUAUUGGGUUUAAAGGGUGCGUAGGCGGGUUAUCAAGUCAGCGGUAAAAUCGUGGAGCUCAACUCCAUCCAGCCGUUGAAACUGAUGAUCUUGAGUGGGCGAGAAGUAUGCGGAAUGCGUGGUGUAGCGGUGAAAUGCAUAGAUAUCACGCAGAACUCCGAUUGCGAAAGCAGCAUACCGGCGCCUGACUGACGCUGAAGCACGAAAGCGUGGGUAUCGAACAGG
RNAcentral lists this ribosomal RNA (252 nucleotides) under uncultured bacterium. RNAcentral's name for it is "partial 16S ribosomal RNA". It matches the Rfam family "Bacterial small subunit ribosomal RNA", at positions 524 to 776 of the family's 1533-position model. The record is from RNAcentral.